UAGACUCCUUGACUUUCAGAUUGUGACUUCU
RNAcentral lists this non-coding RNA (31 nucleotides) under Mus musculus (house mouse). The record is from RNAcentral. Lineage: Eukaryota; Metazoa; Chordata; Mammalia; Rodentia; Muridae.